This 2649-nucleotide long non-coding RNA is filed under the name Mytilus galloprovincialis (Mediterranean mussel). The record is from RNAcentral. Lineage: Eukaryota; Metazoa; Mollusca; Bivalvia; Mytilida; Mytilidae.
GAACGGUUAACACUGAUUUAAAGUUGUGUCUAAUCCAUGACAGUUUUUAUUUACCUAUUAUGGUUUACUUUUACAAAUUGUGACUUGGAUGGAGUUGUAACAUUGGCAUUCAUACCACAUCUUCCUAUAUAUAUUGAACAUUAGAACUCAAUAACAGACACUGCUAUGUUCAGUGUUUGGUAAAAGGUUGACUGUCACUGUGAACAACAUAGAAGCCUAUGGGAAAUAACCAGAGAACUCUUUUUAUCAGAAAUCAUUGUCAAACAUCCAAACAUACUAUCCACACUGAUUUGUGUCCACACUUGUUAUAAAUAUAAUAUGAUUGACCGUAAUAUUUCUUAAAGAUGGUUUUUAUUCAGUUUCAUAUAAUAUAACAUGACCAUGAAAGUAUUAUAAUGACAAAAUUAUUCCAUGGAUUGACAUAAUAUAAUUGACCGUAAUAUAUCACUUAUAACAACCCAACAAUUAGACUAAAACAGAUUUGGCUGGUUAAUUUUUAUUAAAUUUUGCCAAAAUAUUUACUGAAGCAGUUGCAUGACAAAAAGAUAAAGAUUUUAAGUAAUUUGAACCACGCAAUUUACAGGAAUAAUUGCAUUGAAUAUAAGCAGUUUAACAAACACUUGUGUUGAGAAGCUAGCACUGCCACUAAAAGUAGCUGAUUUUUAAGAGUUAAAAGUCCCUUUUAUAUUCUAUACACCAUUAAUAAGAUCAAACGAGGUAGAAAAAAUUCCGCAUUCUAAAGAAUAAUAUGGUAGGUAAGUUUGAUCAUGUUCCAAGAAAUCUUUUUCUGGUGCAUGAUACUUACAAGAAAGGCUUCGUUAUAGCAAGUGCUACUGUAUCUAGUUGUAUAAUGUCAAUAUGUAGUUAAGCUUUAUUUUUAUCAUUGUUGGCCGCGCAUAUAAAUGAACCAUGUAUAUAUCUUUAGUUUUACUUUUCUAUAUCAACUUAGCACACUCUGAACUAACAACAAUGUUAUACUCAUUUAAUUAAGUAUUCGCCUGGGAUUGAACAUGGAGAUUAUUGUUUAUACGACGUUUUAAUGAAUCAAUUGUUUAUAUAAUUAGUUUAUUGUUUUGUCCUUCUAAAUCUCAUUGAAGGGGUUAGCGGAAUGUCAUUCUGUAGCCUUGACAAUCGGCCUGAAAAACUGCUGAAAUAUUUCAGAGUUUGCAAUGUUCUUUAAAUAAAACAUCUUCAAAUUGUAAAGGUCUAAAAUAAUGCGUGUAAUUACAGUCUAUUGAUUGGUGACAACAGUUUUAAAAGUACUUCUGUAAAGUCCAAGGUUGGGAAAUGAUUAAGAAUACUUAUACGACUCAGUUUCUAACUCUAUUUAACUAUCGUGAAUCAGCGGCUGGAAAUUGUUCAUUAUUUUGACUUAUGUUAUGCAGACAUAUUCGACUGGUUGCGUUUGAUAUAGAAUUUUAGGUUCGCCUAUAAUGAUUAUUGUUAUAGAGACAAUCGGUUUUUUAGAACUUGAUAAUUAUGCCAUUAUAUUUAUUUUUAUCAGACAAGCUUUAAUGUAUGAUACGUAUAAAAUCAGUUAGAUGAUGUUUUAAAGUAAACUGCAUGUAUUUCAUUUAUUCAACGACGACCACGAGUGCAAUUAUAGUUUGGCAAAAGUUUAACUCUGUGUUGCAACCAAGAUGCAUAGUGUUGUUAAGAUGUUUUACUCAGUUACUAUAUAUUAGAUUCUGAUGAAUUUCUCAGUUAAUAUAUAUUAGAUUCUCUUAACUCUUUGGCCUUCAGUGAUUUUUUUUUACAUUUUCCGAUCGGAAAGGCGCUGUUAUCCCCUCUUUCGACGCGCGAUUUUUUUUUUUUUUUUUGUUGCCCGUUUGUUGUGCGCCAUAGAGACAUAAAAUUCUUUAUAUUUAAGUAUACAAGUUUUCUACAUAAGAAGGAGAGCUUGAAAAAAAUAUCCAGCUUGUUUUCUCUUUGUAAAUUUUAUUAAUUAUUUAUGUAAAAAUUCAAAAUUCGCUGAAUUGGCACAAAUGUAGAUUGUAAUGCUGUAAAAUGUGUCAGAUUUAUGUCUUCCUUGAAGUGAAAGAACAUACAAAACUACUUAAUAAAUACGGAUUUACUAAUGCUAUCUAACUUCGCUUAUAUUGUCAAGACGAUUCAAAUAAUUUUGCAUGAUAUUUAAAACAAACCGAGUGUAUUUAGAAUUUGGCAUUGGGCGUGGUUGCCAAGAAUCAAUCAUACUACAUAUGUUAAAAUUAUAAUUUUAAUGAUAUCAUUGCGCAACAUUUAGUUUCGGCAGCAUGGUAUAUCUAAGUGUAAUCCUUCUCAACUGUCGUUUAAUGAGAUUCGUGUAUUAUUCCAUUAUUACAAGACAAUGUUGUUAUUUUUAUAUUUUGCGAAAUUGGCAUCCUAACUUUAAGACUUAUAUUUCGUCGUUCAUAUUGUGCUACAUUCUGUAACCAUGUAUUUAAUUACUACCUUAUGAAAUGUGUACCUGUUCGUUAUAAUCAUCAUAUUAUUUAACCUUAUUAAAUGAAUACCCGUGUGUAAUAAUCAUUGUAUAAUUAAAGCUUUGUCAAUGUAAAAAAAAUUAUAAACAUUGAUGUUGCUGCUUCCAAACUUUUAUUCAUAAUGUACAUUUCAUUUUGAUUAUCAUAUACUUGUUAAGAUUUCCACUUUUCUGUUGAAUUUAUU